RNAcentral lists this small RNA (51 nucleotides) under Arabidopsis thaliana (thale cress). RNAcentral describes it as "ATSL298680". The record is from RNAcentral. Lineage: Eukaryota; Viridiplantae; Streptophyta; Magnoliopsida; Brassicales; Brassicaceae.
AAUAAUUAUAUUUUCAAAGAGCGUAACAGAGAUAAUAUCAAUUGUUAUAUU